RNAcentral lists this ribosomal RNA (497 nucleotides) under uncultured bacterium. Its description in RNAcentral is "partial 16S ribosomal RNA". It matches the Rfam family "Bacterial small subunit ribosomal RNA", at positions 28 to 507 of the family's 1533-position model. The record is from RNAcentral.
GAUGAACGCUGGCGGCGUGCCUAACACAUGCAAGUCGAGCGAACAGACGAGGAGUUUGCGCCUCUGACGUUAGCGGCGGACGGGUGAGUAACACGUGUAUAACCUACCUAUAAGACUGGGAUAACUUCGGGAAACCGGAGCUUAUACCGGAUAAUAUAUUGAACCGCAUGGUUCAAUAGUGAAAUACGGUUUUGCUGUCACUUAUAGAUGGAUCCGCGCCGCAUUAGCUAGUUGGUAAGGUAACGGCUUACCAAGGCUACGAUGCGUAGCCGACCUCAGAGGGUGGUCGCCCACACUGGAACGGAGACAGGGUCCAGACUCCUGCGGGAGGCAGCAGUAGGGAAUCUUCCGCAAUGGGCGAGAGCUUGACGGAGCAACGCCGCGUGAGUGAUGAAGGUGUUCGGAUCGUAAAGCUCUGUUAUUAGGGGAGAACAAAUGUGUAAGUAACUGUGCACGUAUUGACGGUACCUGGUCAAAAAGCCACGGCUAACUACGUG